RNAcentral lists this transfer RNA (70 nucleotides) under Sewellia sp. ZF-12283. RNAcentral describes it as "tRNA-Pro". It matches the Rfam family "tRNA". Rfam says of the family: Transfer RNA (tRNA) molecules are approximately 80 nucleotides in length. Their secondary structure includes four short double-helical elements and three loops (D, anti-codon, and T loops). Lineage: Eukaryota; Metazoa; Chordata; Actinopteri; Cypriniformes; Gastromyzontidae. The record is from RNAcentral.
CAGAAAAUAGUUUAAUUCAGAAUUCUGGCUUUGGGAGCCAGGGGUGGGAGUUAGAAUCUCCUUUUUCUGG